UAAAAUGUGGGAUUGAUCGCGCGUACUCGCCACUAAAAGGCCUUGGCCUCCAUUGCGAGUGGGAAAUUCGGUGUAACACUUCCCUCUGAAAUACUCAAGUGCUCUUGAGAGCGCCUCGCGGAAGCGGGGAGCAGCGUUAUCAGAAAUGAAGCAAUAGCAUGGGAAUGGCGCUGUGAGGGAUUGCGCGGGUGACCGUAGCUUAAGUGCAAUGCGCGAUUCAGAUGUCUGAACCUCGAUACCGAUCACAAUUCUACAUUUUUAUCAGUUUAUUUU
RNAcentral lists this RNase P RNA (273 nucleotides) under Blastobotrys adeninivorans. It matches the Rfam family "Nuclear RNase P". Rfam says of the family: Ribonuclease P (RNase P) is a ubiquitous endoribonuclease, found in archaea, bacteria and eukarya as well as chloroplasts and mitochondria. Its best characterised activity is the generation of mature 5'-ends of tRNAs by cleaving the 5'-leader elements of precursor-tRNAs. The record is from RNAcentral. Lineage: Eukaryota; Fungi; Ascomycota; Dipodascomycetes; Dipodascales; Trichomonascaceae.